AGGGGCAAGUGAUGAAUAAUUCUUAUCCUACACACUGAAUUUCAAUUGUGUUGAAUACAAACAUCUCAAAUAUAUUGUCUGAUGCCUUA
Molecule: small nucleolar RNA, 89 nt
Organism: Papaver somniferum (opium poppy)
Lineage: Eukaryota; Viridiplantae; Streptophyta; Magnoliopsida; Ranunculales; Papaveraceae
Product: small nucleolar RNA R16
Exons: 1
Source: RefSeq, a predicted model, not a curated record